Molecule: ribosomal RNA, 1343 nt
Filed under: uncultured bacterium
Lineage: Bacteria
Description: 16S ribosomal RNA
Rfam family: Bacterial small subunit ribosomal RNA
Source: RNAcentral
GACGAACGUUGGCGGCGUGCUUAACACAUGCAAGUCGAACGGAAAGGCCCUGCUUUUGUGGGGUGCUCGAGUGGCGAACGGGUGAGUAACACGUGAGUAACCUGCCCUUGACUUUGGGAUAACUUCAGGAAACUGGGGCUAAUACCGGAUAGGAGCUCCUGCUGCAUGGUGGGGGUUGGAAAGUUUCGGCGGUUGGGGAUGGACUCGCGGCUUAUCAGCUUGUUGGUGGGGUAGUGGCUUACCAAGGCUUUGACGGGUAGCCGGCCUGAGAGGGUGACCGGCCACAUUGGGACUGAGAUACGGCCCAGACUCCUACGGGAGGCAGCAGUGGGGAAUACUGCACAAUGGGCGGAAGCCUGAUGCAGCAACGCCGCGUGCGGGAUGACGGCCUUCGGGUUGUAAACCGCUUUCGCCUGUGACGAAGCGUGAGUGACGGUAAUGGGUAAAGAAGCACCGGCUAACUACGUGCCAGCAGCCGCGGUGAUACGUAGGGUGCGAGCGUUGUCCGGAUUUAUUGGGCGUAAAGGGCUCGUAGGUGGUUGAUCGCGUCGGAAGUGUAAUCUUGGGGCUUAACCCUGAGCGUGCUUUCGAUACGGGUUGACUUGAGGAAGGUAGGGGAGAAUGGAAUUCCUGGUGGAGCGGUGGAAUGCGCAGAUAUCAGGAGGAACACCAGUGGCGAAGGCGGUUCUCUGGGCCUUUCCUGACGCUGAGGAGCGAAAGCGUGGGGAGCGAACAGGCUUAGAUACCCUGGUAGUCCACGCUGUAAACGGUGGGUACUAGGUGUGGGGUCCAUUCCACGGGUUCCGUGCCGUAGCUAACGCUUUAAGUACCCCGCCUGGGGAGUACGGCCGCAAGGCUAAAACUCAAAGGAAUUGACGGGGCCCCGCACAAGCGGCGGAGCAUGCGGAUUAAUUCGAUGCAACGCGUAGAACCUUACCUGGGUUUGACAUGGAUCGGGAGUGCUCAGAGAUGGGUGUGCCUCUUUUGGGGUCGGUUCACAGGUGGUGCAUGGCUGUCGCCAGCUCGUGUCGUGAGAUGUUGGGUUAAGUCCCGCAACGAGCGCAACCCUUGUUCACUGUUGCCAGCACGUUAUGGUGGGGACUCAGUGGAGACCGCCGGGGUCAACUCGGAGGAAGGUGGGGAUGACGUCAAGUCAUCAUGCCCCUUAUGUCCAGGGCUUCACGCAUGCUACAAUGGCUGGUACAGAGAGUGGCGAGCCUGUGAGGGUGAGCGAAUCUCGGAAAGCCGGUCUCAGUUCGGAUUGGGGUCUGCAACUCGACCUCAUGAAGUCGGAGUCGCUAGUAAUCGCAGAUCAGCAACGCUGCGGUGAAUACGUUCCCGGG